Molecule: ribosomal RNA, 771 nt
Filed under: uncultured bacterium
Lineage: Bacteria
Description: bacterial SSU rRNA
Rfam family: Bacterial small subunit ribosomal RNA
Source: RNAcentral
UACGGGUUGACUUGAGGAAGGUAGGGGAGAAUGGAAUUCCUGGUGGAGCGGUGGAAUGCGCAGAUAUCAGGAGGAACACCAGUGGCGAAGGCGGUUCUCUGGGCCUUUCCUGACGCUGAGGAGCGAAAGCGUGGGGAGCGAACAGGCUUAGAUACCCUGGUAGUCCACGCCGUAAACGGUGGGUACUAGGUGUGGGGUCCAUUCCACGGGUUCCGUGCCGUAGCUAACGCUUUAAGUACCCCGCCUGGGGAGUACGGCCGCAAGGCUAAAACUCAAAGGAAUUGACGGGGCCCCGCACAAGCGGCGGAGCAUGCGGAUUAAUUCGAUGCAACGCGUAGAACCUUACCUGGGUUUGACAUGGAUCGGGAGCGCUCAGAGAUGGGUGUGCCUCUUUUGGGGUCGGUUCACAGGUGGUGCAUGGCUGUCGUCAGCUCGUGUCGUGAGAUGUUGGGUUAAGUCCCGCAACGAGCGCAACCCUUGUUCACUGUUGCCAGCACGUUAUGGUGGGGACUCAGUGGAGACCGCCGGGGUCAACUCGGAGGAAGGUGGGGAUGACGUCAAGUCAUCAUGCCCCUUAUGUCCAGGGCUUCACGCAUGCUACAAUGGCUGGUACAGAGAGUGGCGAGCCUGUGAGGGUGAGCGAAUCUCGGAAAGCCGGUCUCAGUUCGGAUUGGGGUCUGCAACUCGACCUCAUGAAGUCGGAGUCGCUAGUAAUCGCAGAUCAGCAACGCUGCGGUGAAUACGUUCCCGGGGCUUGCACACACCGCCCGU